RNAcentral lists this unclassified non-coding RNA (330 nucleotides) under soil metagenome. RNAcentral describes it as "partial contains 5.8S ribosomal RNA, internal transcribed spacer 2, and large subunit ribosomal RNA". The stretch from base 1 to 120 matches the Rfam family "5.8S ribosomal RNA", at positions 35 to 154 of the family's 154-position model. The record is from RNAcentral.
GAUGAAGAACGCAGUGAAAUGCGAUAAGUAAUGUGAAUUGCAGAAUUCAGUGAAUCAUCGAAUCUUUGAACGCACAUUGCGCCCCCUGGUAUUCCGGGGGGCAUGCCUGUUUGAGCGUCAUUUCACCACUCAAGCCUCGCUUGGUAUUGGGCAACGCGGUCCGCCGCGUGCCUCAAAUCGACCGGCUGGGUCUUCUGUCCCCUAAGCGUUGUGGAAACUUUCGCUAAAGGGUGUUCGGGAGGCUACGCCGUAAAACAACCCCAUUUCUAAGGUUGACCUCGGAUCAGGUAGGGAUACCCGCUGAACUUAAGCAUAUCAAUAAGCGGAGGA